AACGAACGCUGGCGGCAGGCCUAACACAUGCAAGUCGAGCGCCCGCAAGGGAGGCGGCGGACGGGUGAGUAACACGUGGGAAUUUUCCUCAAGGUACGGAACAACUCAGGGAAACUUGGGCUAAUACCGUAUGAUGCAGAGAUGCCAAAGAUUUAUCGCCUUGGGAUAAGCCCGCGUCAGAUUAGGUAGUUGGUGGGGUAAUGGCCUACCAAGCCUGUGAUCUGUAGCUGGUCUGAGAGGACGAUCAGCCACAUUGGGACUGAGACACGGCCCAAACUCCUACGGGAGGCAGCAGUGGGGAAUCUUGCGCAAUGGACGAAAGUCUGACGCAGCCAUGCCGCGUGAAUGAUGAAGGUCUUAGGAUUGUAAAGUUCUUUAGCCUGUGACGAUGAUGACGGUAACAGGAGAAUAAGCCCCGGCUAACUUCGUG
This 430-nucleotide ribosomal RNA is filed under the name uncultured bacterium. RNAcentral describes it as "bacterial SSU rRNA". It matches the Rfam family "Bacterial small subunit ribosomal RNA", at positions 29 to 507 of the family's 1533-position model. The record is from RNAcentral.